This 615-nucleotide ribosomal RNA is filed under the name Lacticaseibacillus rhamnosus. RNAcentral describes it as "bacterial SSU rRNA". It matches the Rfam family "Bacterial small subunit ribosomal RNA", at positions 380 to 985 of the family's 1533-position model. Lineage: Bacteria; Bacillati; Bacillota; Bacilli; Lactobacillales; Lactobacillaceae. The record is from RNAcentral.
AGUCUGAUGGAGCAACGCCGCGUGAGUGAAGAAGGCUUUCGGGUCGUAAAACUCUGUUGUUGGAGAAGAAUGGUCGGCAGAGUAACUGUUGUCGGCGUGACGGUAUCCAACCAGAAAGCCACGGCUAACUACGUGCCAGCAGCCGCGGUAAUACGUAGGUGGCAAGCGUUAUCCGGAUUUAUUGGGCGUAAAGCGAGCGCAGGCGGUUUUUUAAGUCUGAUGUGAAAGCCCUCGGCUUAACCGAGGAAGUGCAUCGGAAACUGGGAAACUUGAGUGCAGAAGAGGACAGUGGAACUCCAUGUGUAGCGGUGAAAUGCGUAGAUAUAUGGAAGAACACCAGUGGCGAAGGCGGCUGUCUGGUCUGUAACUGACGCUGAGGCUCGAAAGCAUGGGUAGCGAACAGGAUUAGAUACCCUGGUAGUCCAUGCCGUAAACGAUGAAUGCUAGGUGUUGGAGGGUUUCCGCCCUUCAGUGCCGCAGCUAACGCAUUAAGCAUUCCGCCUGGGGAGUACGACCGCAAGGUUGAAACUCAAAGGAAUUGACGGGGGCCCGCACAAGCGGUGGAGCAUGUGGUUUAAUUCGAAGCAACGCGAAGAACCCUUACCAGGUCUUGAC